RNAcentral lists this ribosomal RNA (587 nucleotides) under uncultured bacterium. Its description in RNAcentral is "partial 16S ribosomal RNA". It matches the Rfam family "Bacterial small subunit ribosomal RNA", at positions 355 to 1375 of the family's 1533-position model. The record is from RNAcentral.
UGGGGAAUUUUGGACAAUGGGCGAAAGCCUGAUCCAGCAAUGCCGCGUGUGUGAAGAAGGCCUUCGGGUUGUAAAGCACUUUUGUCCGGAAAGAAAUCCUUGGCUCUAAUACAGUCGGGGGAUGACGGUACCGGAAGAAUAAGCACCGGCUAACUACGUGCCAGCAGCCGCGGUAAUACGUAGGGUGCAAGCGUUAAUCGGAAUUACUGGGCGUAAAGCGUGCGCAGGCGGUUUGCUAAGACCGAUGUGAAAUCCCCGGGCUCAACCUGGGAACUGCAUUGGUGACUGGCAGGCUAGAGUAUGGCAGAGGGGGGUAGAAUUCCACGUGUAGCAGUGAAAUGCGUAGAGAUGUGGAGGAAUACCGAUGGCGAAGGCAGCCCCCUGGGCCAAUACUGACGCUCAUGCACGAAAGCGUGGGGGAGCAAACAGGAUUAGAUACCCUGGUAGUCCACGCCCUAAAACGAUGUCAACUAGUUGUUGGGGAUUCAUUUCCUUAGUAACGUAGCUAACGCAUGAAGUUGACCGCCUGGGGAGUACGGUCGCAAGAUUAAAACUUAAAGGAAUUGACGGGGUCAUAGCUGUUUCCU